This is a long non-coding RNA of Temnothorax curvispinosus, 384 nucleotides long. RefSeq lists it as uncharacterized. The record is from RefSeq and is a predicted model, not a curated record. Lineage: Eukaryota; Metazoa; Arthropoda; Insecta; Hymenoptera; Formicidae. The transcript has 3 exons.
UUACGUUCUAUAAUAGAUUUGUCCUUGGACAUUAAAAAUAUCAUCAAGGGCAAUGAAUAUGUCUUAACAUAUGGGAUCAAUUGUUGUAUCAAAUUCAAAAAACCACCAUUUGAAAAAUUUGACCCUGGCUAAGAUAAACAUCAGUGAACAAUAUAUUAUAAGGAAAACUCUGUACAAGAUACUAGAAAUGCUAAAAGAUGACCAAGAAACUUUUACACAAGUCAGGCUAUUAGACAACAAUCCCUUGUAAUACAGAGAAAGACUUGGAACACUAUAAUGGAAUAGCUUAGAUUUGCAAACAUCCGUAAACAAAGGAAAAAAUCUUAAAAGGUAAAAAAGUAAUAUAAUGUAUUUAUGUCUGUUAAGUUAGCACCCUCCAUAAAA